UGGGGAAUUUUACACAAUGGGGGAAACCCUGAUGUAGCGACACCGCGUGAGCGAAGAAGCCCUUUGGGGUGUAAAGCUCUGUCAGCAGGGACGAAAAAAAUGACGGUACCUGCAGAGGAAGCAUCGGCUAACUACGUGCCAGCAGCCGCGGUAAGACGUAGGAUGCAAGCGUUGUCCGGAUUUAUUGGGCGUAAAGAGUUCGUAGGUGGUUCGUUAAGUCUGGUGUAAAAGACUGGGGCUCAACCCUGGGAUCGCACUGGAUACUGGCGGACUGGAGUGCAGUAGAGGCAAGCGGAAUUCCCAGUGUAGCGGUGAAAUGCGUAGAUAUUGGGAAGAACACCGGUGGCGCAAGCGGCUUGCUGGGCUGUAACUGACGCUGAGGAACGAAAGCUAGGGGAGCGAAUGGG
This 407-nucleotide ribosomal RNA is filed under the name uncultured bacterium. RNAcentral describes it as "bacterial SSU rRNA". It matches the Rfam family "Bacterial small subunit ribosomal RNA", at positions 355 to 776 of the family's 1533-position model. The record is from RNAcentral.